GACGAACGCUGGCGGCGUGCCUAACACAUGCAAGUCGAACGGAGAUUUUAUUUAUGAAAUCUUAGUGGCGAACGGGUGAGUAACGCGUAGACAACCUGCCUUUUAGAUGGGGACAACACCGCGAAAGUGGUGCUAAUACCGAAUGUUGUAUUUUGGUCGCAUGAUUGAGAUACUAAAGAUGGCCUCUAUUUAUAAGCUAUCACUCAAAGAUGGGUCUGCGUCUGAUUAGCUAGUUGGUGAGGUAAUGGCUCACCAAGGCGACGAUCAGUAGCCGGUCUGAGAGGAUGAACGGCCACACUGGGACUGAGACACGGCCCAGACUCCUACGGGAGGCAGCAGUGGGGAAUCUUCCGCAAUGGACGAAAGUCUGACGGAGCAACGCCGCGUGAGUGAAGGAGGUUUUCGGAUCGUAAAACUCUGUUUUCAGGGACGAAUGUGCGAUGUGUAAAUAAUGCAUUGUAAUGACGGUACCUGAGUAGAAAGCCACGGCUAACUACGUGCCAGCAGCCGCCGUAA
This 516-nucleotide ribosomal RNA is filed under the name uncultured bacterium. Its description in RNAcentral is "partial 16S ribosomal RNA". It matches the Rfam family "Bacterial small subunit ribosomal RNA", at positions 28 to 523 of the family's 1533-position model. The record is from RNAcentral.